ACGCAGAGGCAGAGGCGAGGAGUACGCAGAGGCAGAGGCAGACCUGAAGCAGGAGGAGAACGUGCACAAAUAAGAAGAGGACCAAACUUAUCAAAUGGCAUUCGUGCAACACUAGUGGACCAUGUUGUGAACCACGGAUUGACGCUGAGGGAGGCUGGACUGAGAGUUCAACCAAAUCUUAGCAGAUAUACAGUGGCAUCUGUCAUAAGGACUUUUCGACAGGAAAACAGGAUUGAGGGUCGGGAACGACAAGGAGGAAGGGGGCCCAUAUUCACGCAAGAACAAGAGAGAGAUAUAAUACAGUUUUUCUCAAUUGUUUACACACACAUUCUGGUACUUGAGACACAAUGACCGCAACAUGUAACUCAUUCACCAACCCCCUGAACCAAUUCUGCUAAACUACAAGCACAAUUCCUGCUUUAAACUUAAAUUGCAGUUCUAAAACACACUUUUUUCAAAACACUACACACAAUUCUCUGCUUUUGGCACAAUUUUCAUGCAGAAAAUAUCUUGUUUUCACAAGGAACACACUGCCAUUCAAAUAUGCACACUGACUCAUCACAAGGGCAAACACCCGUCACACAGUUUUACAAUUAGCAUUCAGAGCUUUAGCAUAAAAGGGCAACAGGUGAGCUAUUCAAUGGAGCAAUGUAUGCCAACAUUGGAAACAGAGGCAGAGUAAGAGGAGGACGAGGACGAGGAAGGCCAAGGACUGUAAUCUCUGAGAUCCGAGCCACUUUGGUUGAUCAUGUGGUCAACCAUGGUCUAACAAUGAGGGAGGCUGGGCAAAGAGUACAGCCAAAUCUGAGCAGGUACACUGUAGCAUCCAUCAUCCGGACUUUCCGAAAUGAGAAUAGGUAAGAAAUCUACUCUCACUAGAAAAUUGCAGUACUGCAUAUCAAUACAGUACUCAAUGAGUACAGUAGUACAGUAUUGCCUGUGGACUGUUCUGUAGGACUGUAAAAAUACUGUAAAGUAUGUUUCUAGUAUUUAGGAAAUGUAUACCUACUUUGUAUUUACAGUAUUUUACUAUUUGUUUGGCAGAACUGAAAGAUUACCAACACAAGGUGGUCGGGAACAUGUUCUGUCUAACAGGAAACUGAAAUCAUAAACAUGGUCCUAGAAAACAACGCCAUAACAUUACAGCAAAUACAAAGAAAAAUAAUAGAAAACAAUGACAUAUUUCAAAAUAUUGCUAGGGUAAGCUUAUCAACACUGGACCGUGUCUUGCGCAGAAAUCAUCUCAGGAUGAAGCAGGUCUACAGGGUGCCAUUUGAACACAAUUUAGAAAGAGUCAAAGAAUUGCGAUAUAACUAUGUGCAAGUGAGUCCCACAAUUGUUGCAUACACUCCACUGUAUACAGUAAAUUAUACAUAUUUCAGUAUUGUAAUCAUAAUGAUUGUGCUUCACAAUAGUGACCACUCAUGUCUAUUUCUGAUAUUGUCAUGAGUGUUUCAGAGAGUCCUUGAGCUAGAGGUGGCUGCAGUGGAGCACCAGUCUUCAUUGAUGAGGUUGGGUUCAACCUCACAAAAAGACGAAAGAGGGGAAGGAAUAUCAUCGGCCAGCGUGCCAUUGUUGAAGUCCCUGGCCAGCGCGGAGGGAACAUCACAAUGUGUGCAGCGAUUACCCACCACAGCGUCAUCCAUCACCAUGCUACCCUUGGCCCCUACAACACCGCCCAUCUGAACACAUUCCUGGACACCCUACACAACACACUCAUUCCACCAGAUCAGGUAGAUGGCCCAGAGCAGCUCAGGUACGUUGUCAUUUGGGACAACGUAAGUUUCCACAGGGCUGCUCUGGUUCGUAACUGGUUCACUGCCCACCCACGCUUUUUAGUUGUUUAUCUCCCUCCAUAUUCUCCAUUCCUCAAUCCUAUUGAGGAAUUUUUUUCUGUGUUGGGAAUGGGAUGUACACUGUGUACAUUGUUUUUGUGGGAAAAAUAAAAUGUAUUUGUUACCGUGUAUUUGUGUGUUCUGAGUAUAAAACAAUAUUCUCAAAUAUUUUACAACACACUUAUGUAUGUACUCUCUGUAGUAAGUGUAAUACUGAACAAAAAAAAAAGGCCUGAGUCAUUAUGAUGAAUGGAGAAGUGUUUUCCAUUCAUCAUAGUGUUUUACAUUGAGCACAUCAGUGUUCAACUGGUUCUUAUAAAUGUCUAUUCAUAUGAUGGUUUGUGUGUGUCAUUUGAAAACAAAAUACCAUUUUGAGAAGAAAUAACAUUGUUUUGAAUGUAAAGUUUCAUUUUGCAGGAGAAUUGAGGGGUUUUGCCCAUUUUGUGUGUGUGUUUUGAUUUGUGUGUAGAGUUCUGAGAAUAUGAGGCAUUCUUUCAGAAAAUGUGUGUAAACAAUCGAGAAAAACUGUAAACAUGGUUUUGGCCAAAAAUGCUAUCAGGCUCUGAGAACUACAAGCCAACAUUAUCGGUAACCAUGCCAUUUUCAAUAAUGUCCAUCAGGUCUGUCAACACUGAAAAGACAUCAGGUUCAAAUGAAACAACUUUAUCGAGUGCCUUUUUGAGCGGAAUUUAGAGAGGGUCAAACGGCUGCGGCAUGAGUAUGUGGAGAGAGUUUUGCAGAUGGAUGCUGAGGAAAUCCUGCAUGUAUUCAUAUAUAUUGAUGAGGCAGGGUUCAACCUCACAAAAGCAAGAAGGAGAGGCAGAAAUAUCAUUGGCCACAGGGCUAUAAUCAAUGUCCCAGGGCAACGUGGGGGUAACAUCACCCUUUGCGCUGCCAUUUCACAGCAUGGGGUUGUCCUCUGUCAUGCCAAAAUGGGCCCUUACAACACACCUCACAUUUUUGGACUGAUUGCACCACAUCGUCACAGCAGGUAAUGAAAUGCACCAGAUGCAAUACACGGUCAUCUGGGACAAUGUGUCAUUCCUCCACUCCGCUUUGGUCCAGAACUGGUUUCAACACCAUCCACAGUUGACAGUACUAUACCUUCCACCAUACUCUCUGUUUCUAAACCCUAUCGAAGAGUUUUUCUCUGCAUGGCUGUGGAAGGUUUACGAUCUCCAGCCCCAGGCUCAGGUACCCCUCAUUCAGGCCAUGGAGGACGCCUGUGACCAAGUCGACGCCGCAGCUGUGCAAGGAUGGAUUCGACAUCCAUUCGUUGUCUUGCUAAUAACGAUAUUGCUUGUGAUGUUGAUGAAAUUCUCUGGCCAGAUCCAGCUAGGCGAAGAGAUGAUGUGUAGUAUGUUUACUGUAGUAUUGUCUGUACAAUAUUGACAGUUUUUUUCAGAUUAUUUUUUUAUGUUGUUUGUUAUUUACUGUAAUUGUAACCUGUACUGGAUAGAGUAUUUUACGUUUGUAUGUUGUUUGCUGAGCUAACAGUGUUAUGCACACUACUGUAGUAGCAUGAAAACUGGGACAUGUUUUGUUGUGAUUCUCCAUGUUGACUGAUUUGGGUAUAUGGAGAGAAAUAAAUUAUAUUUUCCUCAGUCUGCAGCAUUGGUCUUGUGUAGUAUUUGUAUAGUUGUACUUUCUCUGUGUACUUCAUUUACAGUACUCUAAUCACUGACAAUUAGACUUGCUAAAAGUGUUUUAGGUUAGCAACAGCAGUGUGUAACUGGUUCAAAAAGACUGAAGUCAUAUGAAAUGUGUGUGUUUCGUAUGGUAACAAAAUAUUCUUUUUAUGAAGUAGUGUAUAGUUUUGACAAAAUUGUUCCAUUUUGCAAAUUAUCUGAAGUGUUGUGCUACUUUGGUUUAGGGUUGUGCUAAUUGUGUGUACU
This is a long non-coding RNA of Xyrauchen texanus (razorback sucker), 3730 nucleotides long. RefSeq lists it as uncharacterized. The transcript has 3 exons. The record is from RefSeq and is a predicted model, not a curated record. Lineage: Eukaryota; Metazoa; Chordata; Actinopteri; Cypriniformes; Catostomidae.